RNAcentral lists this ribosomal RNA (441 nucleotides) under uncultured bacterium. RNAcentral's name for it is "partial 16S ribosomal RNA". It matches the Rfam family "Bacterial small subunit ribosomal RNA", at positions 29 to 506 of the family's 1533-position model. The record is from RNAcentral.
ACGAACGCUGGCGGCACGCUUAACACAUGCAAGUCGAAUGAUGGAGGGAGCUUGCUCCUGAAGUCAUGGCAGACGGGUGCGCAAUAUAUAGGAACAUACCCUUGGGUGGGGGAUAACGCCGGGAAACUGGUGCUAAUACCGCAUAAGUCCGAAAGGAGAAAGGUUUACUGCCGAAGGAAUGGCCUAUAUCAGAUUAGAUAGUUGGCGGGGUAAAGGCCCACCAAGUCUGUGAUCUGUAGCUGAUCUGAGAGGAUGAUCAGCCACACUGGGACUGAGACACGGCCCAGACUCCUACGGGAGGCAGCAGUGGGGAAUAUUGGACAAUGGGGGAAACCCUGAUCCAGCGAUGCCGCGUGUAUGAUGAAGGUCUUCGGAUUGUAAAGUACUUUUAUUGGUGACGAUGAUGACGGUAACCAAUGAAUAAGCUCCGGCUAACUUCGU